UACGUAGGGUGCGAGCGUUGUCCGGAAUUAUUGGGCGUAAAGAGCUCGUAGGUGGUUCGGUAAGUCGGAUGUGAAAUCUCCAGGCUCAACCUGGAGGGGUCAUUCGAUACUGCCGUGACUAGAGGUCGGUAGGGGAGUGUGGAAUUCCUGGUGGAGCGGUGAAAUGCGCAGAUAUCAGGAGGAACACCCGUAGCGAAGGCGGCACUCUGGGCCGAUACUGACACUGAGGAGCGAAAGCGUGGGGAGCGAACAGG
This 254-nucleotide ribosomal RNA is filed under the name uncultured bacterium. RNAcentral describes it as "partial 16S ribosomal RNA". It matches the Rfam family "Bacterial small subunit ribosomal RNA", at positions 524 to 776 of the family's 1533-position model. The record is from RNAcentral.